UUUCUUUUCUUUGGCAGUCGAGAAUAAAGAAAAAAGAAGCGUGUCGCUAGGCAGAGCCCGUCAACUGGGCACCCUUCAAAGUUGAUUGCGAAGAGAGAGAGUCUUACAUACUUGCGCCCGGUAUACACUAUACUGUAGCAGCAGCAUUUUCUUUCUUUUCCUUUUGUGUGUGUCGUCAGUGUAGACGCACGAGUCUCGUUACUUUUCCUGUCCGUCCUUUUUUUUCUUCUUCUACGACGACGACUGUGCGCGCUCGUUUCUUUUCUUCUUCCCUUUUGUUGGCGGCCAACGACUGAGGCGCCCAGUUGCGUACAUCACCAACGAUCCCCCCCUUCGCAAAACAGUCGAGAUGGCACAGCAUAUUCUCGCCCUGUCGCAUGUCUCACUCAUGCGUAUGUAUCAGCUCAGGAGCAGAGAAAACAGACACACAUAGAGCCGGAGCGAAAGAAGAAAAAGAGAAGAAGAAGAAGGAGCGGAAGGAUCUCUUCCAUUUGUUUGUUUGCCGGGGAGUAGUGGCGGCGGGGAAGGUUUCAUUAGAUGAUGGGGCGCGCGUUUCGCCAAAGUGAUACAGAGACCCUCCCCAAUUUUCCUUCUCUUAUUUUGUAUUUAACCCAAAGGAUCCUGGCGACGACCCUCUGCACAGUCAAAAGGGAUGGAGGGAGGAGGAGUCUGAAUGUUAUACUGACGUAGUCGUCGUCGUCGGCAGCAGCAGCAGAGAGAGGAACUUAUUGAUCGAAUACCAACGACUUCCUUGUCUUUCACCAGAUUAUCUCUCUCUCUCUAGGAGAUACACACACACACACACACUGGGGCUCUUGGCAGUCAAAUAACUCUUUGGAAGACGAUGACUCUUUAUUUGAGAUUUAUCAUUUCAUUUAUUUGUUUUUGCUCUUUUUCAUUUAUUUUUCCGACCGUCCCUUUUGUUUUUUGUUUUCCAGGGGAUUCGCUGGGGGCCAACUCCUCCUGGCGCUUUAAUGGCCAAUAUUUUUCUUUGGAUAUCUGCUGGCUUUUUUGUUUUGUUUUGUUUCAGGAGGUCCCCACGUCUGGAUGAAUUGAUCUUCUUUCGCCAAUUCCGUCCCCUCUUUCCACUCGGUUUGACAUUUGGAUCGAAUUCGACACACACUCGACUCGCCGAUGUUUGCAGCUUUCAUUAUCUAUCUGCCACCAAAAUGGCCGCCCAUGUCUCUGUGUAGUGUCUUAAGUAGCAGGAGCCACACACACACACACACACAGACCAGGCUAUAGGAAUCGGGACCAAAAAAUAUAUCAUAUCAUUACAUCACCACCACACCCAUUCCGGACGGCCUUUCUCUCUCUAUGUGUGUGUCUGCUUCGUAGGAGCUCUUUUGGCUAGGGCGCGCGCCAGCCGGACCCGGAGUUUGUUGCAAUGGUCGAGAGUGUGUGUAACUGGGCAAUAUCUGAGAAACUAUAAUAUGGUUGCAGACGCGCGCAACGAGUUCCGGUCUCUCUCGCAGCAGCAGGAUGAUGAGGAUUGAAAACCCAACGUAGAUCGUCGCCCAGUCAACCGGAAUUGAUUUAGAACCGGUUUCGGUGAGAAACGACUGGCAGCCCGUCGAGUCCUCCACGUCGGGUCGGGUGAGGAGGAGUAAAAUCGAUGAUAGUUUUUUUCAAAGACGCGCAAAGUAAAACGUAAAUAAUUAAUUAUGGCCCGGGAGAGACCAUCAAUUCACGUCCGUUUUCAUCGCGGAGAUCAUCAACUUGAAAAAGAGAAAAACGCCAAUCUCAUCCGUGAAAUGGAUGGAAAUUGCGCAAGAGGAAUUGACCGGGCAUCUCUUCAAGUCUUCCCCCCAUAUCUUUUGAUAACUGGUUACGUAAGAAGCCCUCGAAAAUGAAAAUCCCCCACAGCUUUCAUCAAUUUGAUACCACGCGCCAUCGCCAGGUUGUUAUACUCCGCCCACGGUACCACCAGCAGCAGCAGCAGCAGG
Molecule: long non-coding RNA, 1946 nt
Organism: Daphnia pulex (common water flea)
Lineage: Eukaryota; Metazoa; Arthropoda; Branchiopoda; Diplostraca; Daphniidae
Exons: 3
Source: RefSeq, a predicted model, not a curated record